This 65-nucleotide non-coding RNA is filed under the name uncultured Lacinutrix sp. Its description in RNAcentral is "S15-Flavobacteria ribosomal protein leader". It matches the Rfam family "S15-Flavobacteria ribosomal protein leader". Lineage: Bacteria; Pseudomonadati; Bacteroidota; Flavobacteriia; Flavobacteriales; Flavobacteriaceae. The record is from RNAcentral.
UAUAUUUGCCGCUCGAAAGACAAGCUUUCGUGUACAUAACAAUCAUUUACAAUAAUAUUAGAAUG